This 488-nucleotide long non-coding RNA is filed under the name Rattus norvegicus (Norway rat). RNAcentral describes it as "long non-coding RNA NONRATT018823". The record is from RNAcentral. Lineage: Eukaryota; Metazoa; Chordata; Mammalia; Rodentia; Muridae.
GCCUCCCAAAUGCUGCCACUAAAGGCAUGGGUCACCCUCGACAUUUUUGUUUGUUUGACAAAAAGUUUUGCUAUGUUGCCCAGUGGUGUGGAUUUGAACUCCUGAACUCAAGGGAUCCUCCCACAUUGGCUUCUCAAGCGCUGGGACUAAGAGCAUGAGUUCCGUGACCUUGCCAAUGCCUUGACCUGCCUGAAGCUGGAGGUACUAUAGGCACUCCCUCAACACUGCCACAGGAUCACAGGACAUCAUCCACCAAGGGGGCCUGGCAGAUCAGAUGCCUUCCCCCACCACAGGGGGAUGAAAUUGAAGUCACUAGCCCAGCGUUCCUUUGGUCAUGGAGAGAGGACCCAAGAUUCAGCCCCAGACAUACCUAACCCGGAAGCUUGUGCUUGUCCCCUCAUGACCCUGCAUGCAUUUGGCUGAUCACAAACAUACUGUGGAGAUGACGAGAUGUUUUAGGUCUUGUCAAGAGACAAUCACACAAAGCA